CAGUAGCCGCGGUAAUACAGAGGUGCCAAGCGUUAGGUGGAAUCACUGGGCUUAAAGCGUGUGUAGGCGGAUGCCUAAGUACCUUGUGAAAUCCCACGGCUUAACCGUGGAACUGCUCGGUAUACUGGGUGUCUUGAGCUGUCUAGGGGCUACCGGAACAAAUGGUGGAGCGGUGAAAUGCGUAGAUAUCAUUUGGAACGCCAAUGGUGAAAACAGGUAGCUGGGGACAUGCUGACGCUGAGACACGAAAGCUAGGGGAGCAAACGGGAUUAGAUACCCGGGUAGUCCCUGUCUCUUAUAC
Molecule: ribosomal RNA, 301 nt
Filed under: uncultured bacterium
Lineage: Bacteria
Description: partial 16S ribosomal RNA
Rfam family: Bacterial small subunit ribosomal RNA
Source: RNAcentral